UACGGAGGGUGCAAGCGUUAUCCGGAAUCACUGGGCGUAAAGGGCGCGUAGGCGGCCUGUUAAGUCCGAUGUUAAAGCCUGGGGCUCAACCCCAGAUCAGCGUUGGAUACUGGCAGGCUAGACGGCUGGAGAGGCGAGUGGAAUUACCAGUGUAGCGGUGGAAUGCGUAGAUACUGGUAGGAACACCCAUUGCGAAGGCAGCUCGCUGGACAGCACGUGACGCUGAGGCGCGAAAGUGUGGGGAGCAAACCGGAUUAGA
RNAcentral lists this ribosomal RNA (259 nucleotides) under uncultured prokaryote. RNAcentral describes it as "partial 16S ribosomal RNA". It matches the Rfam family "Bacterial small subunit ribosomal RNA", at positions 524 to 782 of the family's 1533-position model. The record is from RNAcentral.